This 40-nucleotide transfer RNA is filed under the name Pseudoligosita yasumatsui. RNAcentral's name for it is "tRNA-Val". Lineage: Eukaryota; Metazoa; Arthropoda; Insecta; Hymenoptera; Trichogrammatidae. The record is from RNAcentral.
UAAAAUUUAGUUUAUUUAUAAAAUUUAUUUUUUACAAAAA